GAUAAGAUAAGGGAUCAAUCCAACGAUAAAUAAAUACCUCAUCCCCUAAGUUAACCAUAAAUAAUAUCUGACCCGUGAAAUGUUGAAUUAGCAUCUUUAAAAUGUUGAAUUAGGUUCGCAGUUAUAAGAAAAUGUUGAAGUAUGAAUCACAUGUGGGAAAAUCUGGGUAAGGUGGGAGUAGCAAGUAAAAAAAUAAUAUUUGAUCUUCAUGUAAUGUUGAGUUACCCUAUUCAAAAUGUUGAUAUAGGGUUAGCAUGCAGAUUGUUGAAUUAAGCUUAAGAAAAUGUUGAAUAAUAUUCGUGGGAGGAGAUUGAUGUGCUGCAAUGGUUGUGUUAGAUGGGUCUAAUGAGUUUUAAAAUUAUACUCCCUCUGUUCCAAAUUAUAAGUCAUUUUAACUUUCCUGGAGAGUCAAAGUAUCUAAAGUUUGACCAAAUUUAUAUAAUAAAGUACUAACAUUCAUGAUACCAAAUAAGUACCAUUAGUUUCUUUAUUAAAUAUAUUUUCAUAGUAUAUCUAUUCGGUGCAAUAAACCUUUGUAAUCCUUUCUAUAAUUUUGGUCAAAUACUUCAAAAAAGUCGGAAUGACUUAUAAUUUGGAACGGAGGGAGUAGGAUUUAACUACCUUGCGGAAGCUACAUAUGAGGCCCCCCCAUAUUAUUCAACAGAGAGUAUUUUUUCGAAGAGAAAUUUUAGAGUGCUUGAAAAAAAUGAGAGCCGUCCAUCCGAUGAAAUCAAACGGUGGAAACAAAGGAAGUACCAUGAAGUAUCUAAAGAAAAGUACCAAUUUGGUAGGACCAAGUACCAAAAAUAGUGAGAAAUUACUAUAAUAUCAUUUUAAUUAUGUGUAACUUUAUUUAAUUCUUUUUAAAGAAGGAUAAGAAAUGAAAGCAUUGCAGUACCACUGGUACUUUAAAAGCAUUGUAACAAAGCUCUUUUUUCUAAAUCUUUGGUCAACCUCAUUUAGCCAUGACCACGCAUUGGUGGGAUGCAAAUUUGUGAGGUUAAGCCAAAAGAACUACUAUAUCCUGGCACAAUGCCACAAUGGUCUUCGUAGAAAUGAUGCUGUAUCGUUACAUCAAAAAUGUUUUGUACUUGCCCUAUACGUUUCACUAUACUGUAUUUUAUAAGAACGGCUCAUUUUGUGCAAUUAAUUAAAGAUCCUUAGUUUGAAAGGAGUUUUGGUUUGUUUGGAUAGCAGGUUACAUAACAGGUUUGUUGGAUUUGGGAUGGCAUCAAUGUCGAACAAGCAACUGUCGCCAUAUCACCGCUGAGCGUUCUUGGGCUCCUGGCCGCACGCGCAUCAUCCAUCCAUGUAAACGUAUGAUCCAAAAUUUGGUGGACCCCCUAGGCCUCGCUCCUCAUCAUCGACGUAAUGUUGGUGCCCUGUCAUGCGCAGUCUUAAUUAAAUUUGCCCACCUGCCCGGGGCCCGGCGGGCAGGAAACGAGAUAAUGGUGUACGUCCUGGCCCCGGUGUCCGAUAGAGAUAUCGACGAGUCCUAAAUCUGAAGCAUGAAGACAAUGCCUUCAUAUCAAACGAACAGGAUGCCAGUUCGAUCUCUGUGAUGCACGAAAUUUGCAUGGAAAAUAUGUUUUUUAACGAACAGUACAAGACGGUGCCUAUUUUAUUGAUACAAAGGGAUAGUUACAGCCGGCUCACCAGUAAAAUUAAUUAAGAAAAAAGACUACAUAAAUGAUGUGUUCAAUCUCGCGCUAGGAGGCCUGCAAGGCUUUUUGCCCCGGCUGCAAUCCACACGCUUCCUGAACCCUUGAUUUUUACCAAAAUUGACGUUACUGAUGAUUCCCGGUGCUGGAAGAUUCUCAAGUUCCUUUCCUUCCAUACCUCCCAAAUAAUCAGUAGCAUUAUACUACGUGUCGCCUUUUAUGAAAUUCCUGACGUCGAUGUGAUGUUAGACCACCAUUCCAGGCAUGUCGUACUCUGAGGCUAUUCAUCCGGGACAAGCUUCUCCUGCGAGCUCCAGGAGACAACAUGUGUCCAUAUGCGUCUGCCACUAGUUAGGCCUGCUCAUGGGGGGUUUACCCGCCUCACACCCGCCUCUACCCACAAUUAAUUAGGCAGUUCUGCUGACCCACCCCGCCCCAUAUAUUUAACUUGUCUACCCACCCCACCCCGCUCCACCGUGGGCACGGGUGAAAUGGGUUGCAGCUGCCUGGGUCACUGGUUAUAAACGUCCCAGUGCCCCACCGUCAUGCACAAACAGAGGAGCCAGAGCAGCAGCGACGACCAAUAUAUUCAAUUGUUUAUGAGCACGACCCUACAUGUUUUCCGGCCAUUAAGGAUGUACAUUCACCGGCACAACAUUUGAGCGCCCGUGUCGUCCUAGUCUCUGUUGCUGCUUUCCAUCUUACUAUUGUCCCUGACUAAGCCACAAAAGAGUUGGAAGAGCACGACAAAUAGGCCGAUCAACGCCAAGGAAAUGAAGGACUUGAAACCAGUCAAGAGGCGCUCUCCAGUCCCUAGCGUUCUGGUCUUCCUCGGUCCUCGGGGACUCCCAAUGAAAUUUGCAGAGACAGAGGCAAAAUUUCUUCAAUUAGCAAUCUGAAAAAAUGGAAGGAAAAGAUUCAGUAUAGAACACAAUAUGUUGUAUGAUAGUUUCAUAUUGGAUUAUUUGUGAAAUAGAAAACAAUAGCAGACUGCUACUAAGCAUAACCCAAAAGCUUAAAAAAACCCAUUGAGCUUUAAGAGCAGACUGCUAACUAUGUGAAGAGUUAGCACACAGGAAUGCUUCUUCGAAUAAGGAUCAUUAUUCCCUAACUCCCUCCUGGGCUGUACACAAAUGAGGAUCAUUAUGUCAAGUGGGUGCGGAUGCAAAGAUAUGACUGUCUUAGUAACAUACGUUCAAAAGAAAAAAAUAAUCUGGAUGCAGCUCAGCUCAGAAACCUCAAUUAGUAAAAAAAGUUACCUUCAUUGGUGGGAUACUUGUACAGCCAAUCUUUGCAACAGACCAAAGCUUCAAGAGUUUUUGGCGCCAUUGAGCUUCGAUUGUCACUAAGAAUUCGACCACUCAAGCUAAAUGUUGAUUCAGAAGAAACGGUGCUGAGUGGAAUUGCUAAGAAAUCGCGUGCCAUUGCUGACAACACAAGAUACUUGUUGGAGUUUGUCUUGCACCAAGUUAGAAUUUUAAAAUUUUGGAUCGUUGCAGAGGUAAGCUUCACCAUCUGACCCCCAACUCCUUCAUUGCUUUGUCAAAGUUCUUCUGGGUUCAGCAUACCUUUGGUGGCGUUAUUGAUGUAGACGGCUUUGUGCGUCUAUUUGAGCUGCACAUUCAAAAGAAGAGGGUGGUUUUUGAUAAUAUAGAUGGUACUUUUGAGAACCAUUUUGGUUGUUGCACCUUCCAGACCCAAAGGAAGAAUGAGAAACAAGGUCUCGAGAGGAUUCAGCUAUUUUUACUCAGAAAAACAGGUGGGAAGAUGAUUGGUUAAAUUAUUGGUUUUAUGUUAGGGUCGAGAUGAAAGACGGGGUCGGUCAGGCAACCUAUCCCUUUCAUACUACAAUAAUCCCUAUGGAUGUUGCUACGACUCCACCGGUCGCGAGGUCGAAGAUGAUGAAGAAGUGUGAAGGUGCCUUUGUGGCGGCUUCGGGCUCCGUGUUUGGUAGGGACUUGGUGGAAGAAUUCGUUGCGGCUCACAGGUGGCCACUUACUCCUGGCUGGGGGCCUCUUGAUGUGGAGUUUAGGGCGGUGCCGGGGAAAAGUAGUCCUCUGCUCUACUCUGUUAUUGACGCCAGCCAGUUGCCCAAAGAUUUCACCCCAAACGUGUAUGUUGAGGAUAUCGAGAGGCGUGCUGUUGACAUUAUUGGGCCUAUUUCUGCAGCUGAGAUUAAAUCGUUCAAGCUGGUGGUUAAACACGGGCUUCGCAUUAACCAAGUUUUGGAGAGUCUCGGGAUUGAGCUGCCUGUGCGACCGUUGCUUCGGGGGAAGAAAGCCUGUGGCCUAGGUGGCAGUGGGCGGGGGAAAAGGAAGAGGGGGGAGAGCUCUUCCCGAAGUGUCGCGCGAUCCGAUGCGACCUUGGAGGCUGCUAAAGCGAAGAUGAAAACGAGUGCCCUUGAGGCACAGAAGAAGAAGGAUAAGGCUUCUCAAGCAUCUUUCCUUAGCGGGGUAAAAAUGGUGAAGCCAAGAUCUUCGAGGCUGCCCCAACUAAAAUUGCUACCGAAGCUGGGAAAGGUGUUGCUGUAAAGGCUGUGAGACCUUUGAAGAAACCUCACUUCUCCCGGGUUCCGGAUGAGAACGACAUGGUUGUGGUGGACGCGGCAGCCCUUGCCGUUGCCAAGGCUAAGCGCGACAGUAAAAGAUCUAAAUUGUUCUCUGGCGCAGCAGAGCCGGCGGGUUUUCCCGAGGUUAGCAAUGUACAAGCUGGGCCGAGGGAUCCAAAGGAUAAAGGUGAGGGACCGGAGAUACGCGCUGUUGGGAGCCAAGCAGUGACGGCGCCUUUGCGGGUUGAGCGCAAGACUAAGAAAGAGAGGGUUAUGGAAGAGCUUGUGGCUGCCAGGAGGAAAGAGGUGGAUAAAAUUACCGAGGCUAUCAAGGAUCCAUCUUCGCAGACGGUGAAGUCAGGUAAUGAUGUUGUUGUGUGCUUGCCCAAGUUGAGAUUUUUUAGGUACACCGGAGGCUUGGAGAGGUUCUUACUAGAUUUGGAUAAUACCAUGGCUUCUCCUGGGGAGUUGUAUAGCGAAUCUCACAUGAGAUUGAUGGAGAGGCGUUAUUCUGCAGAUGCAAGGUUGUCCUCAUCCUUGAAGAGUUUUAACAAGGCCUUUGGCACGAAUGUGAGGAGGGAGAUUGUUGCAGCUGGUGCACCCGGGUUAGGUGAGGGUUACAACCCUUUGAAUUUAUGCUUGCCGUGGAUGGAUCGAUCUGAAAGGGUUCGGCACGACGCAUGUGCAGCGGUUGGAGGCAGCACCAAGAGCGAUAGGCUGGAAGUGAGGGAGAAGGGCGAAGUUGACUCAGUUGUGGUGGCAGACAAGAGCAGGUCUUACUAUACAAAUGUCGGUGACUAUGGGCCAUGUAGUCCUGAAGGUAAGAUUUUUCUUUGUUGUUCCUUGUUGCAUAUCGCAUGUUGUUAUUGGAGUUUUGACUGUUUAGUGAUUGUGCAGUGUUUAAAGAAGUUGUUAAGCGGCUGCGCGAUGAGGAGCUAGCGCGGAUAUUUGCUACCCUCGGGCAGAAGGUUUUGGCUUGGAGUCUUUGUUAAUUAUUAAUUUUAUUUUAUCAUUAUUUAAUUAACUGACAUGGUUUUUGUUUCGCGUAGUGCACGAUAGCUGGGGCAGAGGCAAAAGAGAGGGUAGAGGCCGAGGCGAAGGACUUGCUUCGCCCUUUCGGUGCCGAGCCAUAUCCCUUGCCGGCUGAUGGCGAUGUCGCGGAUGUUUGUGAGUGGAUGAAGAAUGAGUUCGAAAGCCUGUCCGAAGUCAUAACUGGUCUUAAUGAUUAUGCCACAAAUUUCUACUUGGAAAGUACCCUUCAACUCCUUGAGGCUGAGGACUGCGAUCACUUCAUGACGCUUGGAGGGGAGGAGUACAAAUUCCUGCUGGCUUCGGAGUUAGGUGCCUGAGAGAAAACUGGGAAUGUGAGAGCGGUUAAGCGGAGUAUUUUCAGGCGACUCUGGGCUACAACUGGCAUAGAGUACAUUCAAUAGCUUGCCAAGGAAAGGCUGAAGCGGGAGAAGGAAACGGCGGCCAAGCUCGAAGCUGAGGAGAAAGGUGAUGACGAAGCUAGUGCACCUUAGACUGGGUAGAGUGCUGGGGGCUCAGGAAUUCUUGUGAAAAACUUUUGAAAAAGACAUUUUUUUGUCUUGUAAUAGCGUUGUAGUCGUGGCGUUUGAUGACAUUUGAAUUGUGGCCGAAGCGGUUUGACAGUUAUUUUCUAGGAAUGUGUAAAUGCGUUUUUUUGGUGGUGAAGUGCCAUGCUUACUUUUUUAGUUUCUUGCGUACUUGUGCUCCUUUGUUUUGCAGGGGCUUGGAGUUUUUCUUUGGGCUAGCUUCGCUAGGCCUGUUGCGGCUUGCUCCUGCGAAAGGGCGGUUUAAGAGGAUGGUUUGUUUGAAAAAGAACGUCACCUCCCACAUAUGUGGAAGGAGGAAAUUUGAGCAGAUGUUACUCGGGAUGUUUCCUGUCGUUACGGUGCUUUGCACUUGUGGCCAGGGGACGGAAAAGAGUAGAUGGCGAAGAGAAGAAAGGUUGUGACCAAAGGGGCAAUUUUUGUAAUGUUUUGAUUAUUUUUGGAAAAAGGGGCUGGAGCGCGCUUUAUACUGUAAAGUAGAUAAGUCGGUACAAAACUCGAAACUGGGUUUUGCUGACUUAGAGAAUAACAAGAGUUUGGUUGAUAUCGCAACUUAGGGUUGCUGCAACCUUAGAGUUUGUGUUGUGACUUUUCUUGGUGUAAAGUGUUUUGCCAGAGCUUCGUGAACAGGGUGGCAGGCUGAAACCUCGAGUUGUCCUGGCGGAGGUCGGGGGGGGGGGGAAUUGCCAAAAGAAAUUGUCCCCCCUUAGCUUUGUUCCGCUUGGCCGAAGUUGCGGGUUAUCCUUGCGAAAGGUUGAUGAAAAGGCCAGCACAUUUUUUUUUAGAAAACAUCACCCCCCCUCCUUCUAGCUUUCGCAAGGGGAACUAAAAGAUGUCUUUCCCUUCUUGGUGCCCGUGCGGAGAGUAGGCCGUUGAGCCGAAGCCGCGAUCCUUUCUCGUGAAAGGCAGGCAAGGGUAGGUAAAAAAAAAGUCAGCCCUCCUUCUAGCUUUCGCGAGAAAAAAGAGCAUGCUGGGGCGAGCCUGCCUUUGAGAAGGGUUGCUUCAGGCAAAGCGGAACUAGUGAAUAGUUUUUCCUAAGGUCGUGGCCAUUGCAGAGAAUAGGCUAGUUUACCUGAGUGGGGGGGAGGCAGAGAAGUUCAUAAUACUUAAUUUGCGCAUAAAGCACGCUUUAUAAUGAUACGUAAUUUGUUAGAGUACUUGGUCAUACGAGGCACGAGGUUACGCAACUUGUUCUUGCUUUGUUAUGGGAGAUAUAUACCUUUUUUCCUCCGCGUGAAAGCGUGAGGUCAUGCAACUUGUUGUUGCUUUUUAAAUGAAAAACAUACUUUUCUCCUCCGCAUGAAAGCGCGAGGUCAUGCAACUUGUUGUUGCUCUUGUGAAUGUAAAACGUAGUUUUCUCCUUCGCAUGAAAGCGCGAGGUCACGCAACUUGUUGUUGCUCCUGUGAAUGAAAAACGUACUUUUCUCCUCUGCAUGAAAGCGCGAGGUCACGCAACUUGUUGUUGCUCUUGUGAAAGCGACUGCAGGGGGAAUUUUACUUUAUUAUGCAUCGAGAAUUUUUACAUGGAUCUGCCUCGUUAAAAACCUUGCCUCCAGAAUGGAGCCCCCCUAGUAAGGAAAAGAGUACAGUCCAGAUUCUAUGACAUGAAAAGUAAAUGCGGAAAAGAAAGUAAAGCUGUCGCCUUCGGCAUUGUUUAUAGUUCCACAAGCUAAAGGUGACGGACCUCUACGGAUAGUAUUUUCGCAGACUGUCUAUGUUCCAAGAAUGUGGUAAUUCCGUGCCGAGUUGGUCCGCCAGGUGAAAAGAACCUGGCCUACUACUUUUUUUAACAAUGUACGGUCCUUCCCAUGCUUCCUGCAGUUUGCUGGGGUUUUCCCAAUUCUUCGUUCUUUUUAUGACAAGGUCACCAAUUUUGAUUUCUCUGUGCAAUACUUUCUUGUCUCUCCAUCUCUUGGUUUCUUUUUGGUAUUUAUUAAUGUUGUCCAAAGCUUGAAUGAUGUCAAGCUCGAUCAUGUCCUUUUCAAUCUUGAUGACAUCCUGGAUGUCCUUAGUGCACAUGACUCUCAGGCUGUUGUUCUUGAUUUCUUCUGGUGUUACGACUUCGGAGCCGAAAAGCAGCCUGAAUGGCGUGAAGCUUGUAGCUUGAGAUUGGGUAGUGUUGUGCGACCAAAUUACCUUUGGGAGCUCAUCGAUCCAUUUUUCCUUCUUCUAGUCGAAUAGACAUUUCUUGAUUUUGCAGUGAAGAUUAAGCCAUUAGCUCUUUCUACCGCGCCGUUUGAUUACGGGUGGUAAACCGAGGAGAAUUUGACCUUUGUCCCGAGGCUGCCACAAAAUUCUUUGAAAUCGAUGCAAUCGAACUAUUUGCCAUUAUCAACGGUUAACUCCCUUGGUACUCCAAAUCUGCAAACGAUGUUUUGCCAAAAAGAACUUUUGUACUGAAGCUGAGGUUAUCAUUGCCAGAGGCUUCGCCUCAAUCCAUUUUGUGAAGUAAUCUAUGGCAACAGCUGCAAUUUGCAAUUACCCUGAGCUGUUGGGAGUGGGCCAACCAGAUCCAUUCCCCACCUUUGUAGUGGCCAUGAUGGUGGAAUGAGUUGUAUUGAGAGUGAUGGUGAGUGUCUCUGGUUUGCUGUCUUUUGGCAGGCUUUGCAGUUUCGGACAAGGUUUUGGGUGUCAUGUACGGCCGAAGGCCAAUAGAAUCCUUGCCUGAUAGCCUUGCUUACGAGAGCUCUUGAGCCAAUGUGAGAUCAAUAAAAACCCUUGUGAAUGUCGGCCAGCAGAUCUUUGCCUGUUUUGGCAUCGAUGCAACGAAGCAAGGGCAUUGAGAUUUCGGCCUUGUAAAGCUCUCCAUCAAUGAUUGCAUAUCCUCUUACUUUUUACUUGAGCCUAGUGAGCUUGUCUUUGUCGCAUGGCUCAAAGUGACCUGUAAUGUAUGCCAUUAUCUCGGCUCGCCAGUCGAAGCGCUGGAUCGCAUUUACAUACUUCAGAGUUGGUUCUUUGGUGGAUGGGGUCUCGAUGACUUCGUAGAACGUGUCGAGAGGAAUUGGUUCAUUCUGGGCUGCUGCUUUUGCGAGUUUGUCCGCCUCAUCAUUUUCUGCCCUCAGGAUAUGCUUGACGGCGAAUCCCCUGAAAUGUUUUUCCAUUGUUCUGACCGCUGUGAGAUACUUCACGAGCUCUGGCUCUUUAGCCUCGCUGUCUUUCUCGAUGUGCUCUUUGACCACCUUAGAGUUUGUUUUCACUAUGAAGGCCUGUUGUCCUAGAGCUUUCAUCUUUCUUAGUGCCAUAAGCAAUGCCUCAUACUCGGUUGUAUUGUUUGUUGAUCUUGUUCCUUUGGGGAAUUUUAGCCUCACGGCGUACCUUAUUUUUACGCCAGUUGGCAAGGUUACAAUUGCUGUUACUCCAGCCCCUCUGUCGCACCAGGCGCUGUCGCAAUAAACGAUCCAAGGUGUUUCAAUGUCGUCGCGACUGGCUUUUGGAGAUGUCCAGUCAUCGAUGAAAUCAACCAGGACUUGAGGUUUUAUGGCGCUUCUUCUUUCAAAAUCAACCACGAACUCUAAUAGCUUAGAUGCCCACUUAGUAAUUCUGCCCGAAGCUUCUCUAUUUGAGAAAAGAUCGUGGAGGGGUUGGUUUAUGACAGCCACAAUCCUAUGUCCCUCAAAGUAAUGACGUAGUUUGCAUGCUACCAUCACCACUGCAUAGGUGAUUUUCUCCAACUCUGAAUAGUGUAUCUUCGAUCCACUGAGGGCCUCAGAUGCGAAGUAAACUGGAAUUUGCUUUAGUUUGCCAUCGAUUUCCUUCUCCUGAAUCAGGGUGGCGCUUACCACCGUGCUCGAAGCUGAGAUGUAGAGCAGCAGUGGUGACUUGGGCUCGGGGGGGGGGGCAUAGCUUUGUUAUAGACUGCAUGUAGUCCUUGAGUUCUUGGAAUGCUUGGCACUGCUCUUCCCCUCCAUUCAAAGGUUUUGGAGUUUCGUAAGACCUUGAAGAAGGGUAGGCUUCACUCUACAGCACGGGGGAUAAAUCUAUUGAGGGCGGCCACUCUUCCGGUCAGCCGCUGAACGUCCUUGACCGAAGCUAGCUCCCUCAUUUCAAGGAGUGCCUGAAUUUUGUCGGGGUUGGCCUCGAUGCCCUUGGUGGUGACCAGACAGCCCAAUUCCUUGCCUCACUGAACCCCAAAUACACAUUUCUCAGGGUUUAGUCUCAGAUUUGGUGCCCUUAGGUUGGCAAAAGUUUCGGCAAGGUCACGGAUAUGAUCGGCCCUUUUGUCGCUUUUGACAACUAUGUCGUCGACGUAAGCAAUGUUCCUGCGAAGCUGGUUUGCUAGUACGAUGGCGGUCAUACUGGAGAAUGUUUGUCCUGCAUUUUUUAGUCCCUCCGGCAUUCGCACGAAGCAGAAUGUUCCGAAUGGUGUCACGAAACCUAUUUUUCCUUCAUCUUCCUUUUUUAUUCUGAUUUGGUGAUAGCCCGAGAAUAAGUCUAAUAGCGAGAGCAUUUCGCUGUUGGUAGCAUCAUCCACAACUUUGUUGACCCUUUCUAAUGGGUAAUUGUCUUUGGGGCAAGUUUUGUUCAAAUCUGUGAAAUCGAUACACAUUCUCCAUCUGCCAUUCUUUUUCCUAACAGGUACAGUGUUGGCAAGCCAUUUCGGAUAGAGGAUGGGUCUGAUCACAUUGGCUUCGAGUAGUUUGUCUACUUUUGCUUUUACUGCAUGGACCUUCUCGUCAGACAUUUUUCUUAGCUUUUGAUUUUUUGGCUUUGCCCCUGGUCUAAUGUCAAGGCUGUGCUCAAUAAUCUCUCUGUCUACCCCCUGGAGAUCGCUUGCGGACCAGGCGAAGACGUCUUUAUUCUUGUUCAGAAAUGCAAUCAGCUCAUGCUCUUCUCUGGGUUCGAGGUUAGCUCCGAUAGUCACGUACCUGUCGGCGAUGUAGCCAUCCAAGAGGACUCUUUUGGUUUCGCUGUCUGCACUUAUCUUUAUUUUCUCUUUGUCUCUCUUGGGUUCGACAUAGGGUUUCUUCAUUUCGUGCUCUUCAGAUUUGCUUGCAGCUGCGAGAUGAUGGACAUUCUUUUGUCCCAGAGUUGAAACCCUCUCAAUGUUUCUUGCCGUUUGCUGAUCUCCAUACACGGUGAUCACUCCUUUGAGGGCUGGCAGUUUCAUGCAGAGGAAGAGCUGUCUGAUGGUUGCAUCCAUUUUGUUUAUGAAACCUCGCCCGAGGAUGUGAAGUAGGGGUAGCACAUUUUGACCACAUCGAAAGUGAUGUGCUCUGUUCUCGCGUUGUUGAGGUUUCCAAAUGACACUGGCAGGGAAAUUUUUCCAAGAGCUUUGAUUGGUCUGCCGUCGAAACCAAGCAAUGUGACUUCGGGCGGUUUGAGGAGGUGAGGGUCAAUCUUCAUCUCUCCGAAGGUAUUGGCGAAUAUGAUAUCUGCAGAGCUGCUUGUAUCAACCAAGACUUUCCCUAUCUUCCAAUUUGCGAUAAUUGCCUCUAUCACCAUCACAUUGUUAUGCAUGGCCAUUUUCAAUGUGAAAUCAUCCUCUGUGAAGGUGAUUGGCAUGUGCGCCCAUUCUGGCUUCGCUGGGGGGCCAUCGAGGAUGAUGGUGUUUACUUGUCUGAAGUAGUCUCACUUCUGCCUUUUGGUUUCAAACUUGAGGGUGGACCCACCAGUGACUGGCAUUAUCAUGCCGAAGGUUGGUAUGGGUUGGAGUUUGCUUCGCGAAAGUCAGACAGUGAAGACCCUCCGGAGAUAGGCAUUAUCGUGCCAUAAGUUGGUAUUGCGUUAGGAUUGCUGCUUGGUGGGUUUGGUUUAGCUUUUGGGAUUUUGUUUGGCAAGUUUGGUGGUGGUAGCGGUAUCUCGUGGCGAGGCUGAGGUGGGAUGUUUGUGUUUUGUGGUUGGAAGGUGUGCGAAGGUUGCCAGGUUAUCGGUGGUUGGAAGUUUGCAAGGCUAGCUGGGCUUGGGUAAUAUGUUGGAUGUGGGUAGAAGGUUGUAUGAUGGAUAGUUUUUGGUGCUUUUGCGGCUUCUUCGGCUGCUUUCUUUUCUGCCUCUCUUUUUGCGCCUUCCAGAGUUAUGGGACACCAGUCAGUUGCAUGAUUGAACUGCUUUCCAUAGAAUAUGCAAUGGAAUGGCCUUUGUUGUUUAGGCUGAUUAUUUGGCCUCGGAGGGCCAUUGCUUUGGCCUCUUCCUCUGUCGUUGUGUCCACCUCUGUGGUUGUUGGGAAAGUUGUUAUGGUUUUGGUGGUGCUGGUUUUGAGCUUGGUUGUGGGUGUGAUUUUGGGUUUGGUGCGAGGGCUGAUUGCCUUCGAUUGUCAUCACGCGGUGGGGUUGAUUCUGUGUGUGAUUGUAUAGUGAAGCCUGCCAAUUUCUAUUUUUUUCUGUUUGUCUGUGACUGUUUCUUUCGGCCACCGUUCGUCUGUGGUCUUCAUCUGACCUGAUGUAUUUCUCUAGCUCUGCGAAUAGUUCUUCCAUUGUUUUGGGUUUCUUUCUUGUUAGCUUCGACGCUGUCAAUCCUGGGUUGAGCCCCGCGAUGCAUGUUGAAAUCGCGAUACAGUCAGCCACAUGUGGCGUCUGCGACCGAAGUUGUACAAAUCUCCUGACAUAGCUGGCGAGGGUCUCUUUAUAUUUUGUUUGCAAUGGAAAAGGUCGGCUCCGUCAGUCAUGGUUUGAUGGAAGCCUUGGAAGUUCUGAGUUAACUUUAUUUUCAAAUCUACCCAACUGCAUACUGAGUGUGGAUGUAGCAGUGAGUACCAGUUUAGUGCUGCCCCCUCGCAAGCUAUGAUGAAUGAUUUUGCUAGUACGACAUCGUCCCCCCCAACCGAGGCUAUAGCAGCUUCAUAGCUCAUUAGAAAUUGGCGUGGGUCUAUCUGGCCAUUGAACUUAGGCAAAGCAAUUGACCUGUAGGUGGCAGGCCAUGGGGCAGUUUGAAGUCCGAUUGACAGUGGGGAGCUCUUGUCAAAGACUCCAUAUGUAUUCAUUGUAGGUGGAGGGUCAUGAGGACUGAAGUCAGGGUUGGUGUAUAUGACCCGUGUAGGACCAGUGUUGAAGGCUUGGGUAGAUGGCGGCGUUGGUUGUUGCGGUAUGCCUUGAAGGUACUCGAGUUCCUUUAAUUCUCGCUGUAACUCUUCUAACUGCUUUUUGGCCUCGUUCAACAUUGCUGCCCUGUUGGCUGCUUCUCUUUGAGCUUGCAGUUGCUGUGCGAACCUUUCUUUCUGCCUUUUCAUUUCUUCGAGUUGCCUCAGGAUCGAAGCUAGCUCGUCCUCUGAGUUGCUUGGGGCUUCAUCUUCUGUAUCUAUUUGCGGCUGAUCUUUGUUAGGUGUCCUGUGCGGCAUUUGCUUUCAGUGCUUUUGCUUUGAGGACCUCUUCGACUCUCCUGUAACUCUCUUCCCUAUCCGUGGCGAUCUGCUGAACUGGCUCGGAUCAAACAAGUUGCCUGCCCAUUGCAACUUCGGGCUCGGAUGUGGUCUUCUUCUUCUUCUUCUUCUUCUUCUUCUUCUUCUUCUUCUUCUGGGGUGGCAUCGUGGGUUUCUUAGUGGCUUAAAGCACGGUGGGUGCCAAAUGUUGGAUUGUAACUUCUUGCGAAGUUAAGACUCAACAAGAUUAACAAAGGAAUGGGAAUACGAAUCGUCACUUCAUUGAAAGACGUAAUGCCCUUUUACAAUGGGAGGAGGCCCCCCUUUUAUAAUGCUCGGAAUGCCCGUGCACUUUACAUAGUUGCCCUCACUCAACUGCUACAUUUCCAGAAUAUUCCUUACAUUUGAGUCAUUCGUGCGUCACGUUUUUAGAGCUAUUCUGAUAGUCCCGUGAUUUCCGCUCUCACAAGGCUCCGUGAUUUAUACUCCUUUCGUUGCUCACCCCAUCGUGUUUCCCAGCUUUGCACCCGAGGCCCAGCUUGUCCUCGGGCGCUUUGGCCUUCUCGCCGGUGAUUUUCCUUCUAGGGUGAGCUUCGGGCGUCACGUUGUCCUCAACCAUUCGCCCUAAGCUCGCUCAACCUCGGUCGCGCUUGUCUUCCUCCCUGCACACUGACGCUAAAGCAAGAUCAUCAGGUUAGGAAAAAUGUUGAUUCACCCUGCCUUCGGCUCCAAGCCUCACAUGACACCCGAAACCGGGAAGUUAUUCCUGAAGCUGUGAGCUUCGCAAGGACCCGUGUUGUUGCUUGUUUCGACCGACCUCGAGGGUGGCCAUGCUUUUGGGCGAUCCCCAACAGGAGAUAUUAAAAGUCCAAUUUUAGCAUGGAAGGCCAUGCCAAGUAUGACCACAUCUUAUAGAUGGAAUAGUAUCCGUAGGCUAGAAUGAUAAGAUUGCGCUUUUCAGACUAGUGUAGUUACUUGCACUAAUGCAGAAGCCAGCAGUCCAGGCCCGCUAUUAAGGCCAUGCAUUGUUGCCCUUUUUCCAAGCGUACUGCAUCCUGAGGUCAAGUAGUGGAUACACAUAGACACAUGGUAUCUUGUAAUGCUAAUAAUGUUCCUGAGAGGGCACCUGAUUUUCAUCCUACAGUAUGGGGUGAUUUUUUCUUCAACUACAGCCCAGAACUACUACAUGCAUGGUUAUGUAUAUUUAUGGCUGUUAUGUAGAAUGCUAUGUUCCAGCCUGUUUGUGUUUCUUUCAGUUUUAUUUUAAGUAUAUGAAAAAAUAGCUUUGAGUCCUUGGUUUCUCUCUCUCUGGUAUAUACUGUUUGGAUGCGCUUCUGAUGUGCCUCACCUUGGCUUAGUUUGACUUCUGACCGCUUGGCAAACUAGACAUGAUGAUCACCCAAUAUUCAUAGGCACGCCCGGAAAUGCAAUUCCAGAAUGUUUGAGGAAAACUGAAUUGUAGGGACGCUUGAUUGAUGGAUGUUCUAGCAAUGCAAAAGUCCAUUGUUACAUAUAAGUGAUUUAACCACUUUUUUUAAAAUUAAAAUUUUCAAGUAGACAGCAAUGUAGACGCAUUUUUCUCCAAUCGAAGAACUACAUUGCUGUCACAUUAACCACGUAACGGGCGACACCACAUCAUCAGACUGUUAUCUUCUUCAUUCACAACCUGCUAGUUCGUGACUGAAUGGGCAAACGUACCGUUACAGUAACAUGGGAUUCAAUGGCUGUAUCUUCUUCAAUCACAAAGGAUGUUGAGUCCUGAGUGUCGGUGGCUGGCCGCUGUCCACACACUCCACAGCCAUGGCCUUUUAAAAGCAUUGUAACAAAGCAAAGCAUUGUAACAAAGCUCUUUUUUCUAAAUCUCUGGUCAACCUCAUUUAGCCAUGACCACGCAUUGGUGGGAUGCAAAUUUGUGACGUUAAGC
RNAcentral lists this long non-coding RNA (14998 nucleotides) under Setaria viridis. RNAcentral describes it as "long non-coding RNA (SVIR_LNC011278)". Lineage: Eukaryota; Viridiplantae; Streptophyta; Magnoliopsida; Poales; Poaceae. The record is from RNAcentral.